Molecule: long non-coding RNA, 1146 nt
Filed under: Homo sapiens (human)
Lineage: Eukaryota; Metazoa; Chordata; Mammalia; Primates; Hominidae
Description: HSALNT0115685
Source: RNAcentral
UUCUGCUUCAAACUAAUAUUUUCUUGUAGUGCUGAGUUUAUUAUUAUAUUUUAAGCACCUUACAUAUUUCAACACAAGAUGUUCCCAGCUGUGCUGAGCACAUGCUAAAGUGGGAGCUGACUCUCUGGGUUGGAAGAAAUUAAGGUGUCUGAUUUUCUGAAGAAUCUUGUUUGGUAUAGAAGCUUCAGCAGUUACUUCCAGCCAUCCUAGAACUCUCUCAUGACAUCCCUUCUGGCGAUUUCGGAGUUCUCCUAGGACUGUGACACUUUGACCUGUAUGUACCUUGACCACGUGAACAGCACACUCAUUUUUGGCCCUGAAAGGUAUAUAAAUCAUGUCCUGUCCUGGAAUCUGAAUGUCUUCCCUUUUCACAGUGGAUAAGGCUAUACUUCCUCUUGGCUUCUUGAAGGUAUGCUGAGAACUAAUGAGAUGGGUUUGUGGAAUGCUUUGAGCUGCUGACAUGAAAAGAACAAUGCUCUAGCUUUGUGAAUAACAUAACCCCUAUUGUCAGUGAAUCCACUGAGUCAGAUGAGGACAGGGAGAGACCUACUAGAAUCAAAGAUACUAACAAACCAGGGAGGGCCAGCUCGUUGCUGUAAUUGCUGAUGGCAGUGACAACUGAGGAGAGUGAUGAAAACGUAAAGAAGGAAAACAGCUCAGACUCCCACUGAUUCUACCUUAUGGCCUGACAAAAUAAGUGGCUGUGCUCGGAAAGCCCAAGUGACAAUGAAGUCCAGGUAACCUCUAGGAAUUGCAGGUUCCCUCUUGGAGCUGAGGACAGUCUCCAGUCUCCAGCCAGCAAGAAGCCAGGGCCCUCGGUCCUACUGCUGCAAGGAAAGGAAUUUUGCCUGUGCCCGGAGUCAGAGUGGAAGCCAGUUCUUCUCCAGUGAAUGUGAACGCAGCCUGGCCAGCCCCUUGAUGGCAGGCGUGAGACCCUAAGUGGGGGACUGAGUGUACCUGGACACCUGAUCCAUAAAAACUGUGAGAAAAAUCUGUCUUGUUUUAAGGCCACUACGUUUGUGGCAAUUUGCAGCAAUAAAUAAUUAAGUACAAGUACAUGUCACCCAAGGUCAACUAUUUUCAACAGUUUCCAAUUGUUUCAUUUAUACCUCCAUGUCUGGAGCUGGGUGGGUGGGAGGAGGGGAG